CCUACGGGGGGCAGCAGUGAGGAAUAUUGGUCAAUGGCCGCAGGGCUGAACCAGCCAAGUCGCGUGAGGGAUGACGGUCCUAUGGAUUGUAAACCUCUUUUGUCAGGGAGCAAAGGGCGCCACGUGUGGCGUUUUGCGAGUACCUGAAGAAAAAGCAUCGGCUAACUCCGUGCCAGCAGCCGCGGUAAUACGGAGGAUGCGAGCGUUAUCCGGAUUCAUUGGGUUUAAAGGGUGCGCAGGCGGAAUGUCAAGUCAGCGGUAAAAUUUCGGGGCUCAACCAUGAGAGUGCGGCGCGAACUGGAGACCUUGAGUGCGCGGAAGGCAGGCGGAAUUCGUGGUGUAGCGGUGAAAUGCUUAGAUAUCACGAAGAACCCCGAUUGCGAAGGCAGCCUGCCGCAGCGUUACUGACGCUGAAGCUCGAAAGCGCGGGUAUCGAACAGGAUUAGAUACCCGUGUAGUC
Molecule: ribosomal RNA, 460 nt
Filed under: uncultured bacterium
Lineage: Bacteria
Description: partial 16S ribosomal RNA
Rfam family: Bacterial small subunit ribosomal RNA
Source: RNAcentral